GACGAACGCUGGCGGCGUGCUUAACACAUGCAAGUCGAACGGAAAGGCCCUGCUUUUGUGGGGUGCUCGAGUGGCGAACGGGUGAGUAACACGUGAGUAACCUGCCCUUGACUUUGGGAUAACUUCAGGAAACUGGGGCUAAUACCGGAUAGGAGCUCCUGCUGCAUGGUGGGGGUUGGAAAGUUUCGGCGGUUGGGGAUGGACUCGCGGCUUAUCAGCUUGUUGGUGGGGUAGUGGCUUACCAAGGCUUUGACGGGUAGCCGGCCUGAGAGGGUGACCGGCCACAUUGGGACUGAGAUACGGCCCAGACUCCUACGGGGGGCAGAAGUGGGGAAUAUUGCACAAUGGGCGGAAGCCUGAUGCAGCAACGCCGCGUGCGGGAUGACGGCCUUCGGGUUGUAAACCGCUUUCGCCUGUGACGAAGCGUGAGUGACGGUAGUGGGUAAAGAAGCACCGGCUAACUACGUG
RNAcentral lists this ribosomal RNA (468 nucleotides) under uncultured bacterium. RNAcentral's name for it is "partial 16S ribosomal RNA". It matches the Rfam family "Bacterial small subunit ribosomal RNA", at positions 28 to 507 of the family's 1533-position model. The record is from RNAcentral.